ACCCACGUGACUCGUCAUCUCUUCCCGCUUGUCGCACUGUCUUCUGCUCGAUCCGUGAAAGGUAUUUCCGUUACAGACUUUUUGUUAACAGAUGGAUAUCAAGAAAGAGAUCAGAGAUUUUAGUGAAAAAGGAAGGAAGCUAGUAAAUGAAGGACAUUAUCUUGAAGCAAUUAGAAUGUAUGAAGAAGCUAGACAGAUAGCAGAACAACACUUAGAAGUAACAGAUGGACUGAGACUGGGAG
Long non-coding RNA from Corticium candelabrum, 242 nucleotides. RefSeq lists it as uncharacterized. The transcript has 3 exons. The record is from RefSeq and is a predicted model, not a curated record. NCBI's taxonomy places the organism in Eukaryota, Metazoa, Porifera, Homoscleromorpha, Homosclerophorida, Plakinidae.